Molecule: ribosomal RNA, 424 nt
Filed under: uncultured prokaryote
Description: bacterial SSU rRNA
Rfam family: Bacterial small subunit ribosomal RNA
Source: RNAcentral
UGGGGAAUAUUGGACAAUGGGGGCAACCCUGAUCCAGCCAUGCCGCGUGAGUGAUGAAGGCCUUAGGGUUGUAAAGCUCUUUUGGCAGGGACGAUAAUGACGGUACCUGCAGAAUAAGCCCCGGCUAACUUCGUGCCAGCGGCCGCGGUAAUACGAAGGGGGCUAGCGUUGUUCGGAAUUACUGGGCGUAAAGCGCGCGUAGGCGGACUGGUCAGUUGGGGGUGAAAUCCCGGGGCUCAACCUCGGAACUGCCUUCAAUACUGCCAGUCUCGAGUCCGGGAGAGGUGAGUGGAAUUCCUAGUGUAGAGGUGAAAUUCGUAGAUAUUGGGUGGAACACCGGUGGCGAAAGCGGCUCCCUGGUCCGGACCUGACGCUGAGGCGCGAAAGCGUGGGGAGCGAACAGGAUUAGAUACCCGCGUAGUCC